GGGUCUCAGUGUUUUUGUGACAGGUUGUGAGAAAGCAAGUGAGCAUGCUGUGAGCCACAAAUAUGCAAGGGAAAAACAGAUAAUUCCUUUAUCAUAGGGGAAAAAAUGAUAAUUCCUUUAUUAUAAGGAAAACAAACAAUAUUUUUGUAAUGCAAUCAUACAAAUUACAGUUUCAUGGAUGGCAGGAAAUAAACAUGACAUAUAAAUGUUCAAUGUUUGGGAAAAAAAAUGUAUUUGCUGUGGUUUGGAUUAGUUUCUAAGUGACAAUAUGGUCUUUAUUAAUCCUUUACACAAUAAGAAUAUAUGGAAGUUGUGAAUCUCUGAGAAGACGUAAGUAUAAUUUCUUAACAACACAAUGGAAAGCACAAGUUAUAUGACAGUGGAGAUUAGCAGUUCUUUGAGCAGACUAAAUGUGGGACUCAAUGGCACAUCUUUGUAAGCAGCAGUGAGAGUUGGUUGGCAUUAGUCACACGACUGACAGCAUGAGAAUUUAUGUGUGUUGCCCUCAAAAGGGUACCCUCUUUUACAUCGCUGGGAUCAUGAUGAAAGCCUAGUCAGUGGGACAAGCCGAUGACGUUUGAGCAUUCCAUAAUCUUUUGUCUCCUCUCUCCAGCACACUCUCUCACUUUCUUUCUCUUGUUCCCACUGUCUCACUGUCAGCCGACAUCAACUGUCCAUCGUAUCUCAUCCUGCUUCACAUUGCUUAAUCUCCUUUUCCUUUCCUCCUUACUCAUCUGUUUUUCUGUCGUGAAAUUCCUCCCUUAGAAAAAACACUGCAAAAACAGCCCUCCAGUCAGCCCUGUGAUGCAGGAGGAGGAUAAAAGGGGGUCCAGGAAGGGGAGGGUCCAGUGCCAUCCAGUGUAACAACAGAUCUCCAGUAAAGGGGAGGGUGAUGAGUUUGGCCUUUGGACGGCUUGUGACGCUGCUCCCUUGUGAGAUAUCAGACGAGCCUGACAAAGACACUGAGAAUGCAGAAUGUCUCUGGCCUUCUGUCUCCUGGGUACCUUUUUUUAGCAACAAAGAAUGCGCUAAAAAUAGCUCCACUCACAUGCAUUCUCUUUCCUUUGUUCCAUCAUUCUUUAGUUAUGUUUCAAUUUCCCCUAAUUCCUUAGAGAGCAAGAGAGAGAGAGAAAUAGAGAGAGAUUGAGAGAGAUCAGCAUAGUGACCAGACCUGUUUACGUAUUUUACUGCUGUUUCCAUCCGCCUGUUUUUGUUGUUGUUAUUUUUUGGCUGCCCCUUGUUUAUGUUCAGCCCUCUCCAUCUGACACCUACUCUUCCGCCGAGAUGAAGAGAGUUGGAGAGAUGGUGAAAGAUGGUUAAAGAGACAGAAGAGGUAAAAGACCCAGAGAAACAGACAGAGACAUAGAGACAGACAGGCUGAGAAACUGAGAUGGUGAGCAAUACAGACAGGACAUAUACAAUGACAGGUGAGGAAAGAAUGUUGAAGCAGACUCAGAGAGGGACGGUCAGCAUUUCUGUGUUUGUAUGCACGUGCUUUAACAGACUGAAAUUAUGUCUGAAAAAUGUUAACAUGCUUGUGAGAUGGACAGAUGAGACGAAGGAAGAGGGGGAGAGAGAGUAUGGAAAGACUUGCCCACCCUUUAAAUCAUUCCUUUAUGCGUGGGAUGUCUUCCCUAUUCAUUCUAUUACAUUUUUGUCUCCUGUUUUCCUCCUCUUUCUCUCUUUCACUGACCAAUUGCUAUUUAUUAAAAGAUGUUUUUACUCUCUGAAAAUAUAGCAUGUCCAUAGCUAGUGGGGUUAAAGGUGGUAUUUAUUAAUAGGAAAGGGGCCCAGAGCAAUAUACAGUCAGGGUAAGUCCUUACUACGGCCCUAAGCAUGUUACAGUAAAUAAAUAUAUAGAUAAAUGUAAUAAACAAAUGAAAAUACAUCGAAAUACAUGCUUACACAACCACACACACACAGUCACAUUCAGAAUUUAAUUUCUGAAAUAGUUUUGCGUUCUCUUACAGUAAGUUUUGCAACCCCUCGCAAUAAUUUGCAUUCCCUCACAAUAAGUUUUGCCCAAACAGACGGCGGGAGCAUGGAACUGGCCCAGCACUCAGUUGGCAGCCCGCCUCAUGCCGCUGUUAUCCAGGGAACCCCAACUCACGGCCCACCAACUACCUAUGUCCAACCUCCUGGUGUACAAAGAUCUGAAGAAAGCCAUCCUGCAACGGGUUGGCCAAAGCCCAGAGCAACAUCAGCAACACUUCCGCUCACUGUCACUCGGCGAGCUCGGCAGCCCGUUCGCAUUCGCUUGACAGCUCCGUGACACCUGCUGAAGGUGGCUGCUGGCUGAAGAUAGCAACGCAGAGGAGAUACUCGAUCUGGUGGUACUGGAGCAGUUCAUCGUCUGGUUACCGAAAGGGACAGCGGAGUGGGUCCAGUGCCAUCGAAUGGCGUCGCUGGAUGGGGUGGUCCAGUUGGCUGAGGACCAUAUGGUGGUGUAUUUGGGGGCCGGCGAGCCCCAUGCUUCUCUCUCUCUCUCUCCAUCUCUCUCCACCCUCCCCCUCUCUUUCCCCUUGUCCUGUUCCUAUUCCCUGGAAAUGGGGAAUUUUGACUCCAAACCCGGUUCCCCGGUCCCUUGGGCUGUUCAACCCUCCAGUCUUCCCUAACCCUCUCCGCUCUCCCCCACAGGCUGGUGAAUCCGCUGCCACGGGUGUAGGCGUUAAGUCUGGGCCAGUCUGCUGGAGCUGCUAGGAACCUGGGCAUUUCCAGGGCCGAUGCCCUGUGAUGGAGGUGGAGACAUUGGUCUGGAUCCCCGACGUGCCACAGGCUGCCCCAAUCGAGCAGGAGCGUACCAGAUACCUAUGGACGCAUCGGACAGGAGGUUGGGAGCGGUACUGUCCCAGAUGGUGGAAGGGGAGGAGCACCCCGUGCUGUACAUUAGUCACAAACUCUCACUGAGGGAGACUAAGUACAGCAUGAUAGAGAAGGAGUGUUUUGCCAUCAAGUGGGCGGGUCUCACCCUCCGGUAUUAUCUGUUGGGGCGUGCUUUCACCCUCUGUUCGGACCACGCCCCACUCCAGUGGCUCCAUAGCAUGAAGGAUACCAACACGUGGAAACACGUUGGUUUCUGGCUCUCCAGAAGCUCUCUCAGGGAGCUCCCGGCCUGAGUCGUGUGAUGGGGGUAUGUGGUGAUGUGUGCGUGGCCAAGCGACAUCUGUGGAGAGUGAGGAUGGGAGAGGAAGAGCGCUUUUCCCAAAGAGCCAUUAACACACUCACUUGCUCUCUGACGUCUCUGGAGCAGUACAGGGGUUGGGAAAGGUGAAAGGGGGGUUGAGAGGGUUCCCAGAUUGUGGCUGGUUUGGACACACCUCUGUCACAAAGAAUGGGAGCAGUCAGAGAGGGUCAAAGGACAUUAAAACAUCCUGUCAUAAGGAUUAACUUUCUUUUUUUUUUUUACUGUAUUUAUACACCGUCCCACGAACACACACACAUUCAUCUUCCUCUUGUUUCCUUAUUUCUUUCUCAACACUGUCAUUGUGUAAUCCCUCUGGGGUAUUUUUGAGAUGGUAGAGAAAUGAUUAAUUUAUAUCAAAUCAUGUUUCUGCAGGUAUCCUUUCUGUUUUCCUAUUCGGUGUCUCAUUGGCUAUAUAUGUUGCCAAACUGUUGAUAUUGGUGUGUGUGUGUGUGUUCAUGACUGAGGCAGAAAUAGGCCAGAACGUAUUAAAAUAAUAAUUUGAUGGCCAAACAGCCACCGUGUUUUGAACAACUGGAGAACAGAGUAACAUGAAACAAAGUUUGAUUUAUUUAACUCCUGACUAAUGAACUUUAAACAUCCUCACGUUUUUUUUUUUUACCUAUUUAGACUGGUAGAACUUUGUUCCAUAACACUGACAAAUAAACUUACAAUUAUUUGUGCCCUCACCCCCCACUUACACCCACAUUUAUAAUCUUAAUCAUUCUACAUUUUUGAAGACGUUUUCCAUUUAAGUCUGCUAACUAAAUUAUUCCACAAAUAAUGGUUUUAAUUGCAGAUCUGCAGUCUGGCAGUAAAACCAAAAUGGACUAAAACCAAAUGAUCAUAUGUUGCAAAUGAUGGUUGCUGCUGUUGUAAGGUUUUGGCAUGGGAAAUGAAAAUGUGGAUUUUACAGUAUUAUUUAUCUGCAGAAGAAAGUUUGUGAAAGGUUGCGUGAAUUCUGAAGGCAGAUAUACUGUAUGUUAGACUGCACUUAAAGGAAUAGUUCACCCCAAAAAAUUACAAUUCUGUCAUCAUUUACUCACCCUCAUUUCAUUCCAAACCCAUUUGAUUUUCUUUCUUCAGUGCAAGCAAAAGGAGAUGUUGAGCAGAAUGUUCAUGCUGUUCUUUUCCAUACAAUGAAAGUUAUUCAAUGAAAGUCUUGCCUUCUGCCUUAGCUGUCAUUUCUCGGUCACACUUUCAAUCAAAUACAGUCAUCUCAAUAUGAAUCCGCGCAAUCGGGAUUUUUGCCUGAUGGAUUUCCAGUGGCGAAAAUUUUGCCUACGUGAAGUUCAUAUGGGGUUCAAGUUUGGUGAACUUUGACAUAAAAAUUUGCAUCGUUUACCAAUAGGAAGUUGCCUGGUUUGACAGUGACCUCUGGCACUGUACAUACAGUA
This is a long non-coding RNA of Myxocyprinus asiaticus (Chinese sucker), 4578 nucleotides long. RefSeq lists it as uncharacterized. Lineage: Eukaryota; Metazoa; Chordata; Actinopteri; Cypriniformes; Catostomidae. The record is from RefSeq and is a predicted model, not a curated record. The transcript has 3 exons.